GAUGGAACGUAGCGAAAUGCGAUAAGUAAUGUGAAUUGCAGAAUUCAGUGAAUCAUCGAGUCUUUGAACGCACAUUGCGCCCCCUGGUAUUCCGGGGGGCAUGCCUGUCCGAGCGUCAUUGCUGCCCUCAAGCACGGCUUGUGUGUUGGGCCUCCGUCCUCCUCCCGGGGGACGGGCCCGAAAGGCAGCGGCGGCACCGCGUCCGGUCCUCGAGCGUAUGGGGCUUCGUCACCCGCUCUUGUAGGCCCGGCCGGCGCUUGCCGACACAUCAAUCUUUUUUCCAGGUUGACCUCGGAUCAGGUAGGGAUACCCGCUGAACUUAAGCAUAUCAAUAAGCGGAGGA
RNAcentral lists this unclassified non-coding RNA (343 nucleotides) under soil metagenome. RNAcentral describes it as "partial contains 5.8S ribosomal RNA, internal transcribed spacer 2, and large subunit ribosomal RNA". The stretch from base 4 to 118 matches the Rfam family "5.8S ribosomal RNA", at positions 40 to 154 of the family's 154-position model. The record is from RNAcentral.